Molecule: ribosomal RNA, 484 nt
Filed under: uncultured bacterium
Lineage: Bacteria
Description: partial 16S ribosomal RNA
Rfam family: Bacterial small subunit ribosomal RNA
Source: RNAcentral
AUUGAACGCUGGCGGCAUGCUUUACACAUGCAAGUCGAACGGCAGCGCGGUCUUCGUCCUGGCGGCGAGUGGCGAACGGGGGAGUAAUGCAUGGGAACGUGCCACGUCGUGGUGGAUAGCACGUCGAAAGCCGGGUUAAUCCCGCAUACGGGCUGUGGAUGAAAGCGGGGGCCCGAAAAGCCUUGCGCUUUUGGCGCGCCCGAUGUCGGAUUAGCUAGUUGGUGGGGUAAAGGCUUACCAAGCCGAGCAUCCGUAGCUGGUCUGAGAGGACGACCAGCCACACUGGGACUGAGACACGGCCCAGACUCCUGCGGGAGGCAGCAGUGGGGAAUUUUGGACAAUGGGGGCAACCCUUGUCCAGCCAUGCCGCGUGCGGGAAGAAGGCCUUCGGUUUGUAAACCCCUUGUGUGCGGGAAGAAAUCCUCUGGGCUAAUACCCCGGGGGGAUGACGGUACCGGAUGAAUAAGCACCGGCUAACUACGUG